ACACGUAGGGGGCGAGCGUUGUCCGGAAUUACUGGGCGUAAAGGGCGCGUAGGCGGCCUAAUAGGUCAGAUGUGAAAACCCUGGGCUUAACCCUGGGAUUGCAUUUGAAACUGUUGGGCUUGAGGGCAGGAGAGGAAAGCGGAGUUCCCAGUGUAGCGGUGAAAUGCGUAGAUAUUGGGAGGAACACCAGUGGCGAAGGCGGCUUUCUGGACUGAACCUGACGCUGAGGCGCGAAAGCCAGGGUAGCGAACGGGAUUAGAUACCCCGGUAGUCCUGGCCGUAAACGAUGGAUACUAGGUGUGGGAGGUAUCGACCCCUUCCGUGCCGGAGCAAACGCAAUAAGUAUCCCGCCUGGGGAGUACGGCCGCAAGGCUGAA
Molecule: ribosomal RNA, 377 nt
Filed under: uncultured bacterium
Lineage: Bacteria
Description: bacterial SSU rRNA
Rfam family: Bacterial small subunit ribosomal RNA
Source: RNAcentral